Molecule: ribosomal RNA, 846 nt
Filed under: uncultured bacterium
Lineage: Bacteria
Description: bacterial SSU rRNA
Rfam family: Bacterial small subunit ribosomal RNA
Source: RNAcentral
AUUGAACGCUGGCGGCAGGCUUAACACAUGCAAGUCGAGCGGUAACAGAGAUAGCUUGCUAUCUGCUGACGAGCGGCGGACGGGUGAGUAAUGCUUGGGAAUAUGCCUUAUGGUGGGGGACAGCAGUUGGAAACGACUGCUAAUACCGCAUAACGUCUACGGACCAAAGGGGGGGAUUCUUCGGAACCUCUCGCCAUUUGAUUAGCCCAAGUGAGAUUAGCUAGUAGGUGAGGUAAGAGCUCACCUAGGCGACGAUCUCUAGCUGGUUUGAGAGGAUGAUCAGCCACACUGGGACUGAGACACGGCCCAGGCUCCUACGGGAGGCAGCAGUGGGGAAUAUUGCACAAUGGGCGAAAGCCUGAUGCAGCCAUGCCGCGUGUGUGAAGAAGGCCUUCGGGUUGUAAAGCACUUUCAGCGAGGAGGAAAGGUUAGUAUUUAAUAAAUGCUAGCUGUGACGUUACUCGCAGAAGAAGCACCGGCUAACUUCGUGCCAGCAGCCGCGGUAAUACGAGGGGUGCAAGCGUUAAUCGGAAUUACUGGGCGUAAAGCGUGCGUAGGUGGUUUGUUAAGCAAGAUGUGAAAGCCCUGGGCUCAACCUUGGAACUGCAUUUUGAACUGGUAGACUAGAGUACUGUAGAGGGUGGUGGAAUUUCCAGUGUAGCGGUGAAAUGCGUAGAGAUUGGAAGGAACAUCAGUGGCGAAGCGGCCACCUGGACAGAUACUGACGCUGAGGAACGAAAGCGUGGGGAGCGAACAGGAUUAGAUACCCUGGUAGUCCACGCCGUAAACGAUGUCAACUAGCCGUUUGUGGACUUGAUCCGUGAGUGGCGCAGCUAACGCACUAAG